UUUGGUUAAGUUAGAAAGGGCGCACGGUGGAUGCCUUGACACUAGGAGUCGAUGAAGGACGGGACUAACGCCGAUAUGCUUCGGGGAGCUGUAAGUAAGCUUUGAUCCGAAGAUUUCCGAAUGGGGAAACCCACCAUACGUAAUGGUAUGGUAUCCUUAUCUGAAUACAUAGGGUAAGGAAGACAGACCCAGGGAACUGAAACAUCUAAGUACCUGGAGGAAGAGAAAGCAAAUGCGAUUUCCUGAGUAGCGGCGAGCGAAACGGAACAUAGCCCAAACCAAGAGGCUUGCCUCUUGGGGUUGUAGGACAUUCUAUACGGAGUUACAAAGGAACGAGGUAGACGAAGCGACCUGGAAAGGUCCGUCGUAGAGGGUAACAACCCCGUAGUCGAAACUUCGUUCUCUCUUGAAUGUAUCCUGAGUACGGCGGAACACGUGAAAUUCCGUCGGAAUCUGGGAGGACCAUCUCCCAAGGCUAAAUACUCCCUAGUGAUCGAUAGUGAACCAGUACCGUGAGGGAAAGGUGAAAAGCACCCCGGAAGGGGAGUGAAAGAGAUCCUGAAACCGUGUGCCUACAAAUAGUCAGAGCCCGUUAACGGGUGAUGGCGUGCCUUUUGUAGAAUGAACCGGCGAGUUACGAUCCCGUGCGAGGUUAAGCUGAAGAGGCGGAGCCGCAGCGAAAGCGAGUCUGAAUAGGGCGUUUAGUACGUGGUCGUAGACCCGAAACCAGGUGAUCUACCCAUGUCCAGGGUGAAGUUCAGGUAACACUGAAUGGAGGCCCGAACCCACGCACGUUGAAAAGUGCGGGGAUGAGGUGUGGGUAGCGGAGAAAUUCCAAUCGAACCUGGAGAUAGCUGGUUCUCCCCGAAAUAGCUUUAGGGCUAGCCUUAAGUGUAAGAGUCUUGGAGGUAGAGCACUGAUUGGACUAGGGGUCCUCAUCGGAUUACCGAAUUCAGUCAAACUCCGAAUGCCAAUGACUUAUCCUUAGGAGUCAGACUGCGAGUGAUAAGAUCCGUAGUCAAAAGGGAAACAGCCCAGACCGCCAGCUAAGGUCCCAAAGUGUGUAUUAAGUGGAAAAGGAUGUGGAGUUGCUUAGACAACUAGGAUGUUGGCUUAGAAGCAGCCACCAUUUAAAGAGUGCGUAAUAGCUCACUAGUCGAGUGACUCUGCGCCGAAAAUGUACCGGGGCUAAAUACACCACCGAAGCUGCGGAUUGAUACCAAUGGUAUCAGUGGUAGGGGAGCGUUCUAAGGACAGUGAAGUCAGACCGUAAGGACUGGUGGAGUGCUUAGAAGUGAGAAUGCCGGUAUGAGUAGCGAAAGACGGGUGAGAAUCCCGUCCACCGAAUGCCUAAGGUUUCCUGAGGAAGGCUCGUCCGCUCAGGGUUAGUCAGGACCUAAGCCGAGGCCGACAGGCGUAGGCGAUGGACAACAGGUUGAUAUUCCUGUACCACCUCUUUAUCGUUUGAGCAAUGGAGGGACGCAGAAGGAUAGAAGAAGCGUGCGAUUGGUUGUGCACGUCCAAGCAGUUAGGCUGAUAAGUAGGCAAAUCCGCUUAUCNNNNAGGCUGAGCUGUGAUGGGGAAGCUCCUUAUGGAGCGAAGUCUUUGAUUCCCCGCUGCCAAGAAAAGCUUCUAGCGAGAUAAAAGGUGCCUGUACCGCAAACCGACACAGGUAGGCGAGGAGAGAAUCCUAAGGUGUGCGAGAGAACUCUGGUUAAGGAACUCGGCAAAAUGACCCCGUAACUUCGGGAGAAGGGGUGCUUUCUUAACGGAAAGCCGCAGUGAAUAGGCCCAAGCGACUGUUUAGCAAAAACACAGCUCUCUGCGAAGCCGUAAGGCGAAGUAUAGGGGGUGACACCUGCCCGGUGCUGGAAGGUUAAGGAGAGGGGUUAGCGUAAGCGAAGCUCUGAACUGAAGCCCCAGUAAACGGCGGCCGUAACUAUAACGGUCCUAAGGUAGCGAAAUUCCUUGUCGGGUAAGUUCCGACCCGCACGAAAGGUGUAACGAUUUGGGCACUGUCUCAACCAGAGACUCGGUGAAAUUAUAGUACCUGUGAAGAUGCAGGUUACCCGCGACAGGACGGAAAGACCCCGUGGAGCUUUACUGUAGCCUGAUAUUGAAUUUUGGUACAGUUUGUACAGGAUAGGCGGGAGCCAUUGAAACCGGAGCGCUAGCUUCGGUGGAGGCGCUGGUGGGAUACCGCCCUGACUGUAUUGAAAUUCUAACCUACGGGUCUUAUCGACCCGGGAGACAGUGUCAGGUGGGCAGUUUGACUGGGGCGGUCGCCUCCUAAAGUGUAACGGAGGCGCCCAAAGGUUCCCUCAGAAUGGUUGGAAAUCAUUCGUAGAGUGCAAAGGCAUAAGGGAGCUUGACUGCGAGACCUACAAGUCGAGCAGGGACGAAAGUCGGGCUUAGUGAUCCGGUGGUUCCGCAUGGAAGGGCCAUCGCUCAACGGAUAAAAGCUACCCCGGGGAUAACAGGCUUAUCUCCCCCAAGAGUCCACAUCGACGGGGAGGUUUGGCACCUCGAUGUCGGCUCAUCGCAUCCUGGGGCUGUAGUCGGUCCCAAGGGUUGGGCUGUUCGCCCAUUAAAGCGGUACGCGAGCUGGGUUCAGAACGUCGUGAGACAGUUCGGUCCCUAUCCGUCGUGGGCGUAGGAAAUUUGAGAGGAGCUGUCCUUAGUACGAGAGGACCGGGAUGGACGCACCGCUGGUGUACCAGUUGUUCUGCCAAGGGCAUAGCUGGGUAGCUAUGUGCGGAAGGGAUAAGUGCUGAAAGCAUCUAAGCAUGAAGCCCCCCUCAAGAUGAGAUUUCCCAUAGCGUAAGCUAGUAAGAUCCCUGAAAGAUGAUCAGGUUGAUAGGUUCGAGGUGGAAGCAUGGUGACAUGUGGAGCUGACGAAUACUAAUAGAUCGAGGACUUAACCAUAUAA
RNAcentral lists this ribosomal RNA (2929 nucleotides) under Bacillus thuringiensis serovar yosoo. Its description in RNAcentral is "bacterial LSU rRNA". It matches the Rfam family "Bacterial large subunit ribosomal RNA". Lineage: Bacteria; Bacillati; Bacillota; Bacilli; Caryophanales; Bacillaceae. The record is from RNAcentral.